GAUGAACGCUAGCGGCAGGCCUAAUACAUGCAAGUCGAACGAGAUUAAGAGGCUUGCUUCUUAUGAAAGUGGCGCACGGGUGCGUAACGCGUAUGCAACCUACCUUAAUCAGGGGGAUAGCCCGAAGAAAUUCGGAUUAAGACCGCAUAAAAACACAGGAUAGCAUUAUCCAAUGUUCAAAUAUUUAUAGGAUUAAGAUGGGCAUGCGUGUCAUUAGCUAGUUGGCGGGGUAACGGCCCACCAAGGCGACGAUGACUAGGGGAUCUGAGAGGAUGACCCCCCACACUGGUACUGAGACACGGACCAGACUCAUACGGGAGGCAGCAGUAAGGAAUAUUGAUCAAUGGAGGGAACUCUGAACCAGCCAUGCCGCGUGCAGGAAGACAGCCCUCGGGGUCGUAAACUGCUUUUAUUCGGGAAUGAACCUUUCUACGUGUAGGAAGCUGAAUGUACCGAAGGAAUAAGGAUCGGCUAACUCCGUG
Molecule: ribosomal RNA, 482 nt
Filed under: uncultured bacterium
Lineage: Bacteria
Description: partial 16S ribosomal RNA
Rfam family: Bacterial small subunit ribosomal RNA
Source: RNAcentral